Molecule: ribosomal RNA, 609 nt
Filed under: uncultured fungus
Lineage: Eukaryota; Fungi
Description: eukaryotic LSU rRNA
Rfam family: 5.8S ribosomal RNA (bases 194-347)
Source: RNAcentral
UCCGUAGGUGAACCUGCGGAAGGAUCAUUAAAGAGACGUUGCCCUUCGGGGUAUACCUCCCACCCUUUGUUUAUUUAUACCUUUGUUGCUUUGGCAGACCCGGCUUCGGCCCACCGGCUCCGGCUGGUCAGUGUCUGUCGAAGGACCUAAAACUCUGUUUGUUAAUAUUGUCUGAGUACUAUAUAAUAGUUAAAACUUUCAACAACGGAUCUCUUGGUUCUGGCAUCGAUGAAGAACGCAGCGAAAUGCGAUAAGUAAUGUGAAUUGCAGAAUUCAGUGAAUCAUCGAAUCUUUGAACGCACAUUGCGCCCCUUGGUAUUCCAUUGGGCAUGCCUGUUCGAGCGUCAUUUACACCCUCAAGCUCGCGCUUGGUGUUGGGCGUCUGUCCGCGCUUUCGAGCGUGGACUCGCCCCAAAUCCAUUGGCAGCGGCUCCGCCGGCUUCUCGCGCAGCACUUUGCGCUCAGGAAGGCUUUCGGCGGGCUCGCGUCCAUCAAGUCACCCCUCAUUUUGACCUCGAAUCAGGUAGGGGAUACCCGGCUGGAACUUAAGGCAUAUCAAUAAGGCGGGGAGGGAAGUCGACUGGCCAAGGGGCACACAGGGGGGGGAUA